GAUGAACGCUGGCGGCGUGCCUAACACAUGCAAGUCGAACGGAGUCCCGCCUUAGAGACCUUCGGGUCAAAGAGGGGAAGACUGAGUGGCGGACGGGUGAGUAACACGUGGGCAACCUGGCUCAUAGAGGGGGAUAACAGAGAGAAAUUUCUGCUAAUACCGCAUAAGCACACCCUGCCGCAUGGCAGAGUGUGAAAAGAGAAUCGCUAUGAGAUGGACCCGCGUCUGAUUAGCCAGUUGGCAGGGUAAGAGCCUACCAAAGCGACGAUCAGUAGCCGAUUUGAGAGGAUGAACGGCCACAUUGGGACUGAGACACGGCCCAAACUCCUACGGGAGGCAGCAGUGGGGGAUAUUGCACAAUGGGGGGAACCCUGAUGCAGCGACGCCGCGUGAGUGAAGAAGUAUUUCGGUAUGUAAAGCUCUAUCAGCAGGGAAGAUAAUGACAGUACCUGAAGAAGAAGCCCCGGCUAACUACGUG
This 478-nucleotide ribosomal RNA is filed under the name uncultured bacterium. RNAcentral describes it as "partial 16S ribosomal RNA". It matches the Rfam family "Bacterial small subunit ribosomal RNA", at positions 28 to 507 of the family's 1533-position model. The record is from RNAcentral.